GCAGUUAGUAGCCUUGGCCUUCUUCAAGGAGAGGAAGAAAGGCCCUGAGUGGCUGCUGUAGUUUCCUGUGUGUCAGACUUCCAGUAAUGAUUAGUGUCACUUUUACCUCCCCAUGCCGUCACAGUGUGUGUCAACACGCUUUCUUCUGACACUUAACGGCAUCAAGACCAAACCAAGGAGUAUAAUCAGCGAAACACAAGAGGUUUGCAAUGGUGCAAUGUCUGGUGUUCACACUGCUCUGGGUCUGUGCUGUGGCACUGCUUUCCCUUGGGAGUACAGAGAGAGUAUCUCAAACGACUGAGCCAAGUGUCUCUAGGAGCACAGACCCGACGGCUGAGACAGUUACUUUAGGACCAGUUGAGACCCAAAGCCCUGGUACACACACAGACCAGAGCAUAGAAGAAGAACAAGAACCACUUCCCUCAGACCCCUGUCAGGAUGACGAGUUGGAUAAGAGGGUGUACCAGAGGGAUUCUCAUGGUGUUAUGCAGCUGGUUCAGGGAGAGGACUACAAAAACACUUGCAACCUAUCAGACACUCCAGGUGAACAGGCCCACUGUCUUAUCUACCCUACCAAUCAACUCAACUGCUCCUGGAAUUUCCAUGGUCUCCCUAACGACAGCCAAUCCUACGCCUCCGUCUUUGUGUGUAAGAAAACUGAGAGAAUCUCCAGUGUGGACUGUGUCACUGAGGCCACAGGAGGCCAAGGAGCCCAGGGAGGGACUGGAAAGGCUGACCGUGUGGUUGGAAAUGUGUCUGCUGGGUGCCAAGGCAGUGUGGACAACAGCGCCACCUCGGUGAUCCUGACUUUCAACGUGUCAUGCUCUGACGUGUGGGGCAUCUACACCCAUAAAUACCAGACCAAAGAUAUUGAUGUGCUGCGCCCGCCCCCCGACAUCAACCUAGCCUGGGUCAGAGAGGGGGUUCUGCUGGUGCAGUGGGGUCUCCCAUCCAGCCGGUCACGCAACAAAUCCAGCUGCUUCCACUACCAGCUACAGAUCAAUGACCAGGUGAGGAACUUUACGGGUUUACUGACAUACAAUGAGACCAACGCAGACCCUACACAUUCACACAAUGUGAAGAUGAGGGUGAGGAAGAGUAAAACCUGCAGAGGAUCUCAACACUGGAGCAGCUGGAGCAACACCACCAAGGUGGCCCCGUUUAAAUUUCCCAAUCAGCUGAACUCUCUGGUGGUCGUUGGCAUCGCUCUGGGAAUACCCAUGAUCCUCCUGUCUCUGCUGCUGCUGAUUCGACUCCAGAGGGAACGUCUGUUUCCCCACAUCCCUGGUCCCCCACUGAAGAUUAAACACCUCUUGGAGAGAGACGACCAGUUUCAGUUUGUCCCUCAGGCCCUGCAGCCCAAAUUUGUUGAGGAGAUCACAGUGGUGGAGGAAGCUAAGGAAACACCUGUGAAUUUGGCCAGUUAAACAAGAUGGCCUGUUUAAAGCCCAAUCAUCCUAAUCCCCUAGACUGUGUAAGGGCCGAUCUGUAAGGAGGAUCCCCUUAGCAGAUGCAGUCAUUACCAUUUGUUAAUACCUAUCCAAUCCUUUCAAGAGUGGAUGCUACUUAUUGACAUGCAUUGUUCUUACAUGCUUAUUAGUGUCUACUCAAUUAAUUGUUGUAAUGUGCUCAGCUUCUACCAGUGUUGUAGUUCUCAAGACCGAGACCAGUCCAGUCUUGAGACCACAUAUGGGUCUUGUCUUGGUGUCAGCUACAUUCGUACUUGGUCGUGACUCAGUCUCAGACAGUGAGGACUCGUAAUUUCUUCCCUAGACCAGUGGAGUAAAAACACUCAAACAUAUACACUCCCAUCUUGAAACAUUAUCUUAACAACCGUUAUCUAUUAUAGACAUGGUUACGCAGUGGUGAACCUAUAGGUCUUCAGUAUGUGACAGGUUAGUACAGUGGUGAACCUAUAGGUCUUCAGUGUGUGACAGGUUAGUACAGUGGUGAACCUAUAGGUCUUCAGUGGUGAACCUAUAGGUCUUCAGUGUGUAACAGGUUAGUACAGUGGUGAACCUAUAGGUCUUCAGUGUGUAACAGGUUAGUACAGUGGUGAACCUAUAGGACUUCAGUGUGUGACAGGUUAGUACAGUGGUGAACCUAUAGGACUUCAGUGUGUGACAGGUUAGUACAGUGGUGAACCUAUAGGUCUUCAGUAUGUAACAGGUUAGUACAGUGGUGAACCUAUAGGUCUUCAGUGUGUGACAGGUUAGUACAGUGGUGAACCUAUAGGCCUUCAGUGUGUGACAGGUUAGUACAGUGGUGAACCUAUAGGUCUUCAGUGUGUGACAGGUUAGUACAGUGGUGAACCUAUAGGUCUUCAGUAUGUAACAGGUUAGUACAGUGGUGAACCUAUAGGUCUUCAGUGUGUGACAGGUUAGUACAGUGGUGAACCUAUAGGUCUUCAGUGUAACAGGUUAGUACAGUGGUGAACCUAUAGGUCUUCAGUAUGUAACUGGUUAGUACAGUGGUGAACCUAUAGGUCUUCAGUGUGUGACAGGUUAGUACAGUGGUGAACCUAUAGGCCUUCAGUGUGUGACAGGUUAGUACAGUGGUGAACCUAUAGGCCUUCAGUGUGUGACAGGUUGGUGAUUCUGAAAGGACAGCAACCGUAAUACCAGACACUCAUGUAGGAGAGUGCACUUUUUGUAAAACACAAAGGGACAGUGGUGUAGUGGAGGUAUUUUUUCAGUGGGAAUUGCCUAUACUCACUUAAUCCUAUUGAUGCGUAUCAAAGUAGUGUAGUGGAGUAUACGCAGGUAUUUUUUCAGUGGGCAUUGCCUAUACUCACUUAAUCCUAUUGAUGCGUAUCAAAGUAGUGUAGUGGAGGCAGUGGCGACCCAUCAUUAAGGGCAGUUCUUCAGUCCCACCUGUUUAGCAGGGGGUGUGCCUGUUUUGCAUGUUAUUUUGUCAUUAAUAUGUGUCACAUAUCAGUUUGAAAAAAAUGAAUGAGUUAAUAAAGCUUCAUACAAACAUGGUAUUUAUUUUCUUUCUUGAGUGAGGGAGCUCCAAAAUGCAGAUGUUUCCACUUAGUUCAGUGCUUUCUGUGGUGGGGCAGCCAGCGGAAAAUACUGAGCGUAGGAGUUGGUAAAGUUCUCUUGUUGCGCCUUGAAAGUAUGACUCAGUGUUCUGUCACUCAUGGGGACACUACGUCACGGCAAAAUUCAAGCCCCUUGGGUGCUGCCAUAGAGUUACAUUAGAAGUGCCCAUCCAAUAAGGCUCAAGGUCAUUGGCCACAGAUAAAAUGAUGUCAAAUCAUGUUAUAUCUACCAUAGCUUUGAUUGGAUGGAUCAUGUCAACAUCAUACUUUCUAAAUCUUAGCUAGUAAGCUAGCAGUCAUGAUCAUGAAUCUAGUUAGCAAUCUACAGGCAAAUCCUUUUCAAUCCUUGUAAUGGGAAGAGAAAUGAUAGAUAAAACGUAUAUAGUGCUCAUCGGUCAAAGUGCUCAUCAGUCAUUGGACAUAAACAUUACACAAGAAGUUGUAAAUUGUAAAUUCAACGAUGAGUGGUUUGAAAGGAAUCAGUGGCUAACUGCAAGCAUUGCAAAGCAAUCACUACCCUGCUAUUCAGUGGAGUGGGUUUAAGGGUCGCUUUUCCAAGCUUAUUUGGUAUUUGGUAUUUUAUUAGGAUCCCCAUUAGCUGUUGCAAAAGCAGCAGCUACUCUUCCUGGGGUCCACACUAAACAUGAAACAUAAAACAGAAUGAUAUACAGUAAGACAGAACAGCAUUAGACAAGAACAGCUCAAGAACAGAACUACAUUUUUAAAAAGACACACGUACCCUACAUAUCAUUGCAUACACACACUAUCUAGGUCAAAUAGGGGAGAGGCGUUGUGCCGCGAAGUGUCGCUCUAUCUGUUUUUGGAAACCAAGUUUGCUGUUUGAGCCAUAUUAAAUGGAAGGAAGUUCCAUGCAAAAAGGGCUCUAUAUAAUGCUGUAAGUUUUCUUGAAUUUCUUCUGGAUUUGGGGACUAUGAAAAGACCCCUGUUGGCAUGUCUGGUGGGAUAAGUGUGUGUGUCGGAGGUAUAAGUUGACUAUGCAAACAAUUUCGGAUUUCAACACAUGAAUGUUUCUUAUAAAAAGAAGAAGUGAUGCAGUCAGUCUCUCCCCAACUCUUAGCCAAGAGGGACUGGCAUGCAUAGCAUUUAUAUCAGCCCUCUGAUUACAAUUAAGAGCAAAACGUGCCGCUCUGUUCUGGGCCAGCUGCAUUAUAACUAGGUCUUUCCUUGCAGCACUGGACCACACAACUGGACAAUAAUCAAGGUUAGACAAAACUAGAGCCUGCAGAACUUGCUUUUUGGAGUGUGCUGUCAAAAAAGCAGAGCAUCUCUUUAUUACGGCUAGACCUCUCCCCAUCUUUGCAAUUAGGUGCUGGCUUAAGGCUUAAAAGGAUAAACAUUCAACAUUGGCCAUCCUGUCAAUCAAGCAUGACUUCUGCCACUUUCAAAUCAACUGGAAUCUCAGAAUUUGGAAAUCUCAGACUUCAGUGACUUCAAGACAACUGGGAACACGGAAAAAAUACAAUUUGAACGGUCACCCAACUUGUAAUUUCAAGUCAGGCACUCUGGCCUCUUUCUAGAGCUCCGACCUGAAGAUCACUGACGUCAUGAUUCAACCUUGUUUUUCUCAGAGUUCCUAGCUGUCUUGAAAGCACCAUAAAUCCAGAGAAUGACAGACUUUGAUGAUAAAGUUUGAUGACAAAAUUUGCCCACGAAGGACCGCCGCACCACCGUUGUUCAAGUGAGCAAAGCACAACAAG
This is a long non-coding RNA of Oncorhynchus tshawytscha (Chinook salmon), 4761 nucleotides long. NCBI's taxonomy places the organism in Eukaryota, Metazoa, Chordata, Actinopteri, Salmoniformes, Salmonidae. The record is from Ensembl.